This 244-nucleotide long non-coding RNA is filed under the name Citrus maxima (pomelo). RNAcentral describes it as "long non-coding RNA (CMAX_LNC004275)". The record is from RNAcentral. Lineage: Eukaryota; Viridiplantae; Streptophyta; Magnoliopsida; Sapindales; Rutaceae.
GGGUGUGUUGCUGCCAUUUUUUAAAAUAAAAACGUUAAAGAUCACCGAAAGUAAUGUCUAAACCUAAUGAUUCAAAGCAAAGAUAAAGGAUCCUGGAACAAGGAAAUACCAUUUUUCAAUUGUCUCAACAAUUCAAUCCAAUCCAAAAAUAGAUUCGAUUCGAAACGAGACAAACAAAAAAGGGGCUUGAGACCGCUCAAAAAAGGAAAUGCCUAAGGAUUUUCGGCUGGGCGUUGAAACUUAU